This is a long non-coding RNA of Ruditapes philippinarum (Manila clam), 457 nucleotides long. RefSeq lists it as uncharacterized. NCBI's taxonomy places the organism in Eukaryota, Metazoa, Mollusca, Bivalvia, Venerida, Veneridae. The record is from RefSeq and is a predicted model, not a curated record. The transcript has 3 exons.
UUAUUUAGUAUUUACAGUGUUUAAUGUUUGCAAAUGCAUUAAUUUAUGAAGAUCAUUUCAUGAUAACUAUAACAAAAGUCCAUGUAAACUUUUUUCAGCCACUGAUGACACAAUUCAAGAUAUACUUGGGCAUAUAACUGAAGGUGUUUGUCGACCGUUUAAGGUUAGGGUGGAGCAGGUUUUGGUGUCGGAACAAGAUGCUGUAACACUCUACAAACUGAACAAUCUUCUUAAAUUCUACCUGCAUACUAUAGGGCAGAUAAUUAACCCAGAUGCUGCUUUGUUGUCAACUAUUUUGGAAAUACGUGAUCUGAGCCACAGAAUGUUCUUUAACAGUUUAACAUGUAAUGCCAACAAACUACUGGAUAAGGUGAGAUAUUGUCUUACUUCAUCUGUCAUUAAGAACAAUAAUCUUGUUACAUCUGUAAUUAAGAACAAUAAUCUUGUUACAUCUGUU